RNAcentral lists this long non-coding RNA (692 nucleotides) under Homo sapiens (human). Its description in RNAcentral is "HSALNT0398951". Lineage: Eukaryota; Metazoa; Chordata; Mammalia; Primates; Hominidae. The record is from RNAcentral.
GUUUUUCCCUUACAUCUACCGGGUGUGGGAACUCACCCAGCGCAUCCGACUGCACAAUGAAAAAAAGUAGUUUUCCUUUACAAUGAGGCUUGGCCCCCAGGGCGAUGGUGCCACAAGCCAGAUCACUGGGACCACUCAGAGAAAGGGAACACAGAAGCCUGGCAUGCCAGCAAAAAGGGUUUUUGUGAGCAGUGUCUUGCACCAAACUCCUGUCUCCUCCUGUGACUUAGAAUGCCUAACUUCCUGGGAAUGCAGCACAGGUCUCAGCCUCAUUUUGCCCAGCCCCUAUUCAAGACGGAUUUGCUGUGGUUCAAAUGCUUCUGACAAUAUUCCUCAUGGUGAAUGCUGGAUUUUGCAUGCCCGAGGCCCUGGGCCACACUGUAUGUUUGCUUUUUGCAAGGGCUGUAUGGCUAUGACUAGUUAUGUGGACCCUGCAUUCCUAUGUAAAUGACCCUCCAUAAAAACCCCAGAAAUGAAUGCUUGAGUGAACUUCCCUGGCUUGUAUUAUAAUACUGUGAACAUCUUGUCACACAUCUUUGCUGGGGGAAUUAAGUGUGUCCCUAUGUGACCGUAAUGGGAGAUAACACCCAGAGUUUUGUGCCUGCUUUCAUGUGGACUUCAUUCUAUGUGAUUUUUCCCUUUGGUGAUCCUGGUCUAUAUCCUUUUAUUGUAAUAAACUAUAACCAUAACAG